GAUGAACGCUGGCGGCGUGCCUAAUACAUGCAAGUCGAGCGAACGGACGAGAAGCUUGCUUUUCUGAUGUUAGCGGCGGACGGGUGAGUAACACGUGGAUAACCUACCUAUAAGACUGGGAUAACUUCGGGAAACCGGAGCUAAUACCGGAUAAUAUUUUGAACCGCAUGGUUCAAAAGUGAAAGACGGUCUUGCUGUCACUUAUAGAUGGAUCCGCGCUGCAUUAGCUAGUUGGUAAGGUAACGGCUUACCAAGGCAACGAUGCAUAGCCGACCUGAGAGGGUGCUCGGCCAACCUGGAACUGAGAAACGGUCCCGAAUCCUACGGGAGGCAGCAGUAGGGAAUCUUCCGCAAUGGGAGAAAGCCUGACGGAGCAACGCCGCGUGAGUGAUGAAGGGCUUCGGAUCGUAAAACUCUGUUAUUAGGGAAGAACAUAUGUGUAAGUAACUGUGCACAUCUUGACGGUACCUAAUCAGAAAGCCACGGCUAACUACGUGC
RNAcentral lists this ribosomal RNA (498 nucleotides) under uncultured bacterium. RNAcentral describes it as "partial 16S ribosomal RNA". It matches the Rfam family "Bacterial small subunit ribosomal RNA", at positions 28 to 508 of the family's 1533-position model. The record is from RNAcentral.